This 225-nucleotide ribosomal RNA is filed under the name uncultured bacterium. RNAcentral's name for it is "partial 16S ribosomal RNA". It matches the Rfam family "Bacterial small subunit ribosomal RNA", at positions 15 to 231 of the family's 1533-position model. The record is from RNAcentral.
GAUCCUGGCUCAGGAUGAACGCUAGCUACAGGCUUAACACAUGCAAGUCGAGGGGCAGCAUGGUCUUAGCUUGCUAAGGCCGAUGGCGACCGGCGCACGGGUGAGUAACACGUAUCCAACCUGCCGUCAACUCUUGGGCAGCCUUCUGAAAGGAAGAUUAAUACAAGAUGGCAUCAUGAGUUCACAUGUUCACAUGAUUAAAGGUAUUCCAGUAGACGAUGGGGA